This 484-nucleotide ribosomal RNA is filed under the name uncultured bacterium. RNAcentral's name for it is "partial 16S ribosomal RNA". It matches the Rfam family "Bacterial small subunit ribosomal RNA", at positions 30 to 507 of the family's 1533-position model. The record is from RNAcentral.
AUUGAACGCUGGCGGCAGGCCUAACACAUGCAAGUCGAGCGGAUGAAGGGAGCUUGCUCCUGGAUUCAGCGGCGGACGGGUGAGGAAUGCCUAGGAAUCUGCCUGGUAGUGGGGGAUAACGUCCGGAAACGGGCGCUAAUACCGCAUACGUCCUGAGGGAGAAAGUGGGGGAUCUUCGGACCUCACGCUAUCAGAUGAGCCUAGGUCGGAUUAGCUAGUUGGUGGGGUAAAGGCCUACCAAGGCGACGAUCCGUAACUGGUCUGAGAGGAUGAUCAGUCACACUGGAACUGAGACACGGUCCAGACUCCUACGGGAGGAAGCAGUGGGGAAUAUUGGACAAUGGGAGAAAGCCUGAUCCAGCCAUGCCGCGUGUGUGAAGAAGGUCUUCGGAUUGUAAAGCACUUUAAGUUGGGAGGAAGGGCAGUAAGUUAAUACCUUGCUGUUUUGACGUUACCAACAGAAUAAGCACCGGCUAACUUCGUG